RNAcentral lists this ribosomal RNA (482 nucleotides) under uncultured bacterium. RNAcentral's name for it is "partial 16S ribosomal RNA". It matches the Rfam family "Bacterial small subunit ribosomal RNA", at positions 28 to 507 of the family's 1533-position model. The record is from RNAcentral.
GACGAACGCUGGCGGCGUGCUUAACACAUGCAAGUCGAACGCUGAAGCUCAGCUUGCUGGGUGGAUGAGUGGCGAACGGGUGAGUAACACGUGAGUAACCUGCCCUCUUCUUUGGGAUAACGCCCGGAAACGGGUGCUAAUACUGGAUAUUCACUGAUUCUCGCAUGGGGGUUGGUGGAAAGGUUUUUUCUGGUGGGGGAUGGGCUCGCGGCCUAUCAGCUUGUUGGUGGGGUGAUGGCCUACCAAGGCUUUGACGGGUAGCCGGCCUGAGAGGGUGACCGGUGACAUUGGGACUGAGAUACGGCCCAGACUCCUACGGGAGUCAGCAGUGGGGAAUAUUGCACAAUGGGCGAAAGCCUGAUGCAGCGACGCCGCGUGAGGGAUGGAGGCCUUCGGGUUGUAAACCUCUUUCGCUCAUGGUCAAGCCGCAGCUUUGGGUUGUGGUGAGGGUAGUGGGUAAAGAAGCGCCGGCUAACUACGUG